Molecule: transfer RNA, 77 nt
Filed under: Orseolia oryzae (Asian rice gall midge)
Lineage: Eukaryota; Metazoa; Arthropoda; Insecta; Diptera; Cecidomyiidae
Description: tRNA-Gly
Source: RNAcentral
AAUAAUUUAAUAUAAUAUAGUAUAUAUAAUUUCCAAUUAUAGUGAAAAUUAAUAUUAUUAUAUUAUAAUAUUAAUUA